Molecule: ribosomal RNA, 147 nt
Filed under: Clavicipitaceae sp. CZ-g-02
Lineage: Eukaryota; Fungi; Ascomycota; Sordariomycetes; Hypocreales; Clavicipitaceae
Description: Paecilomyces sp. CZ-g-02 5.8S ribosomal RNA
Rfam family: 5.8S ribosomal RNA (bases 58-147)
About the family: 5.8S ribosomal RNA (5.8S rRNA) is a component of the large subunit of the eukaryotic ribosome. It is transcribed by RNA polymerase I as part of the 45S precursor that also contains 18S and 28S rRNA.
Source: RNAcentral
ACGCCCAGCGGGCGGAAUUUCUUCUCUGAGUUGCACAAGCAAAAACAAAUGAAUCAAAACUUUCAACAACGGAUCUCUUGGUUCUGGCAUCGAUGAAGAACGCAGCGAAAUGCGAUAAGUAAUGUGAAUUGCAGAAUUCAGUGAAUC